CUAGAAAAACAGGGUUCGAACCUGUACUAAAGAGCCCAAAACUCCACGUACUACCUAAUAUACUACUCCCUA
Molecule: transfer RNA, 72 nt
Filed under: Dibamus novaeguineae
Lineage: Eukaryota; Metazoa; Chordata; Lepidosauria; Squamata; Dibamidae
Description: tRNA-Gln
Source: RNAcentral